CCACCCAUCAGAGAAUUCGUUAUUCACAUUGUUUCAAAUAAAUUUUCCUCAUGUAGCCUUCUUUUCAUGCCUGGGUGGUAGUGAAUAGCUACAGUAAUCCAUCAUCAACCAAUCACGUAUGGGAACCGCUGCGAGGGAGGAAAAAUAAAUAAGAAAAAAAUUGUGAUUGUGUACCACCGUUGUGGAGGCCUACGAAGCCGAGAACCUGCAUUUCAAGAGCCGGCAGGAAAGCGGGCGGUGGGAGGCAUGUUAACGUUCGUAUUUUACUUAAUGUGCUCGUGUUUGUGAAGUGUCGGGGAGCCACACGUCUUCAUUACCAGGCCCAGGACUUCACCGAGGCUACAACAACGGUUGAUAUUCGUGACUUGUUGCUCCUCUCCUGGACUUCAGUAUGGAGUAUUGGAGAUGUCAUUGUCCUGAUAGAAGUGUUGGUGGAGCUGAGCUGGCCACUUCAUUAUUACCAGUGGAAAGUCGUGUGUUGUUUAAUGAAGUGAGACUGUCAAUGGAAAUAUCAAAGGUCACGCCGGGGUCACACCGAGGUCAGGUCAAGGUCAGAAGAGUCCCAGUGGGAGAAAGACUCGCUCCCCAGAGGCUGCAGGUCGGUGCCACGCAGGGAUGCUGGAUGGGACUGCAGAGGCCUGGAGUCUAUAUCACAUCGCUCCUGUCCCAGCCUGGCCUCUCCUCUCCCGGCCCGCUGCACACACUGACGCUGCCAAACACUGCGCGGGAGUGGCAAGGCUGGCCAGGUACGCAGCUAUUACCACCAACCCGCGAGGGAGUCUAGGAGGGCGGGCUGGGCGGCGCCUGGCUAGACCCUUGGCACAUGGAAUCAUUGGCUGGAAGUGUUUGUGUGACGAAGCAAAGCUGUGGUGAAAGUGCUAAUCCUCAUCUUUACCGCCAGACCUCUCCUCCACUGCCAUCGCUCUCUUCAAUGCUGCUUCGUUACUUUGCCAAGUCAGUACGCGUCUCACUUCUCACAUCUCUUCACCACCACCACCACCACCACUACUACUACUACUACUACUACUACUUCUAUGCCACACCUCUUAUUCCACCACCGCUACAUCACCUCACGUUACAGUUCUCCCCACCACCUCCAGCACUGCAUCCUACCUCACUCCUCCCUACCACACCACCGCGUCGUCUAAUCCCGUACGCUUCCACACCACCACUGCCACACUCUAUUCCACACCCGCACCACACCCGCCACAUCGCCUGCAUGCCCCGCCACACUCAUUUCCUGCCGGCAAAACACGAGCACCAGCAGCAGCAGCAGCAGCAGCUUCGUAAAUAACAUGUAAAAAAAAGGGUUGCGUAUUUUUGUACAUUUGCCUUACUUUUUUUUAUCAGAGGCGAUGAACUCUUGAAAAUAUUUACCGCAAG
This is an RNA transcript of Scylla paramamosain (green mud crab), 1383 nucleotides long. RefSeq lists it as uncharacterized. The transcript has 8 exons. Lineage: Eukaryota; Metazoa; Arthropoda; Malacostraca; Decapoda; Portunidae. The record is from RefSeq and is a predicted model, not a curated record.